UGGAAUUAGACGACACACAUGUCCAGUUCGGCAUAUAUAAAGUUAAGAGGUAUCUUGGUAAUGUUAAUUCUAUUUUUGCUAUUGAUGUUGUUGACUCUACAGUGCAGGAAUCUCUUGAGCAAAUAUACAAGGAGAAUUUGAGGGCUGGAAUGGAGCAAAAUCAGGAUCUGAAGGAUGCUCCUAAUGAAGAAUUGAAAUU
Molecule: long non-coding RNA, 199 nt
Filed under: Panax ginseng (ginseng)
Lineage: Eukaryota; Viridiplantae; Streptophyta; Magnoliopsida; Apiales; Araliaceae
Description: long non-coding RNA (PGIN_LNC002943)
Source: RNAcentral